UGAGGAAUAUUGGUCAAUGGGCGCGAGCCUGAACCAGCCAAGUAGCGUGCAGGAAGACGGCCCUAUGGGUUGUAAACUGCUUUUAUGCGGGGAUAAAGGAGUCCACGUGUGGAUUUUUGCAGGUACCGCAUGAAUAAGGACCGGCUAAUUCCGUGCCAGCAGCCGCGGUAAUACGGAAGGUCCGGGCGUUAUCCGGAUUUAUUGGGUUUAAAGGGAGCGUAGGCCGCGUUUUAAGCGUGUUGUGAAAUGUAGACGCCCAACGUCUGCAUCGCAGCGCGAACUGGGACGCUUGAGUACGCGCAACGUUGGCGGAAUUCGUCGUGUAGCGGUGAAAUGCUUAGAUAUGACGAGGAACACCGAUUGCGAAGGCAGCUGACGGGAGCGGCACUGACGCUUAAGCUCGAAGGUGCGGGUAUCAAACAGG
Molecule: ribosomal RNA, 424 nt
Filed under: Verrucomicrobiota bacterium
Lineage: Bacteria; Pseudomonadati; Verrucomicrobiota
Description: Verrucomicrobia bacterium partial 16S ribosomal RNA
Rfam family: Bacterial small subunit ribosomal RNA
Source: RNAcentral